GGAUUAGUAACGUUGGUCAGUGCCUCCGGUAYGCACUGGYKUUACUGAUUCCUMCCUUCUGAUCGAACCGUAAUGUCAUUAAUUUGGUGUKGCRGGGAAUCAGGACUGUUACUUUGAAAAAAUUAGAGUGUUUAAAGCAGGCAUACGCUUGAAUACAUUAGCAUGGAAUAAUGAAAUAGGACGUUUGAUCCUAUUUUGUUGGUUUCUAGGAUUGACGUA
RNAcentral lists this ribosomal RNA (219 nucleotides) under uncultured Glomus. RNAcentral describes it as "partial 18S rRNA". The stretch from base 40 to 219 matches the Rfam family "Eukaryotic small subunit ribosomal RNA", at positions 694 to 875 of the family's 1831-position model. Lineage: Eukaryota; Fungi; Glomeromycota; Glomeromycetes; Glomerales; Glomeraceae. The record is from RNAcentral.